This 468-nucleotide ribosomal RNA is filed under the name uncultured bacterium. Its description in RNAcentral is "partial 16S ribosomal RNA". It matches the Rfam family "Bacterial small subunit ribosomal RNA", at positions 28 to 507 of the family's 1533-position model. The record is from RNAcentral.
GACGAACGCUGGCGGCGUGCUUAACACAUGCAAGUCGAACGGAAAGGCCCUGCUUUUGUGGGGUGCUCGAGUGGCGAACGGGUGAGUAACACGUGAGUAACCUGCCCUUGACUUUGGGAUAACUUCAGGAAACUGGGGCUAAUACCGGAUAGGAGCUCCUGCUGCAUGGUGGGGGUUGGAAAGUUUCGGCGGUUGGGGAUGGACGCGCGGCUUAUCAGCUUGUUGGUGGGGUAGUGGCUUACCAAGGCUUUGACGGGUAGCCGGCCUGAGAGGGUGACCGGGCACAUUGGGACUGAGGUACGGCGCAGAGUCCUACGGGAGGCAGCAGGGGGGAAUAUGGCACAGUGGUGGGAAGUCUGAGGCGGCAACGCCGCGUGCGGGAUGACGUCCUGCGGGUUGUAAACCGCUUUCGCCUGUGACGAAGCGUGAGUGACGGUAAUGGGUAAAGAAGCACCGGCUAACUACGUG